UACGAAGGGGGCUAGCGUUGCUCGGAAUCACUGGGCGUAAAGGGUGCGUAGGCGGGUCUUUAAGUCAGGGGUGAAAUCCUGGAGCUCAACUCCAGAACUGCCUUUGAUACUGAGGAUCUUGAGUUCGGGAGAGGUGAGUGGAACUGCGAGUGUAGAGGUGAAAUUCGUAGAUAUUCGCAAGAACACCAGUGGCGAAGGCGGCUCACUGGCCCGAUACUGACGCUGAGACGCGAAAGCGUGGGGAGCGAACAGG
RNAcentral lists this ribosomal RNA (253 nucleotides) under uncultured bacterium. Its description in RNAcentral is "partial 16S ribosomal RNA". It matches the Rfam family "Bacterial small subunit ribosomal RNA", at positions 524 to 776 of the family's 1533-position model. The record is from RNAcentral.